GCGUGUUGUGGGGAAGGAGCAGGGGCAGAACCUGGCCAGACAGUGGAGCAGCUGUGCUUUCCCUGAGUCCUCUGCAAAGUCCAAGAUCAACGUCAACGAGAUCUUCUAUGACCUGGUCAGGCAAAUCAACAGGAAAACCCCAGUACCUGGGAAGACACGCAAAGUCCAACUGUCAGCUCCUCUAAUGCACAGCUGCUCUGUCGCACUGAGCCAGGUCUGAUUUGCUGCUGUCUCUCUCAGCAGUGCCAGCAUUCCGACGUUACUAAAACCUAACAUGGAAUGGACUUUCCUGUGUGUGACGCCCCUUUAACAUCAACAACCAACCAACAAACCGACCAACGGAUUCAAAGCUACAAUACAUCAGUUUUUACACACAGAUUAACCAUUAUCACUCUCCAGUGUCACGAGAACAAGAUUUCUACUUAGAAAUAUAGAUAUUCUAACUGUAUCAAACUGAAAUGGAAAAAUUAAGUGAGGUAAAUCAGUCAAUAUGAACCAAAAUAAAAUCCCGAUCCCUA
This is a long non-coding RNA of Oncorhynchus masou masou (cherry salmon), 518 nucleotides long. RefSeq lists it as uncharacterized. The transcript is spliced from 3 exons. NCBI's taxonomy places the organism in Eukaryota, Metazoa, Chordata, Actinopteri, Salmoniformes, Salmonidae. The record is from RefSeq and is a predicted model, not a curated record.